RNAcentral lists this ribosomal RNA (301 nucleotides) under uncultured bacterium. RNAcentral describes it as "partial 16S ribosomal RNA". It matches the Rfam family "Bacterial small subunit ribosomal RNA", at positions 509 to 807 of the family's 1533-position model. The record is from RNAcentral.
CAGCCGCCGCGGGAAUACGUAGGUGGCAAGCGUUGUCCGGAAUUAUUGGGCGUAAAGGGCUCGCAGGCGGUUUCUUAAGUCUGAUGUGAAAGCCCCCGGCUCAACCGGGGAGGGUCAUUGGAAACUGGGAAACUUGAGUGCAGAAGAGGAGAGUGGAAUUCCACGUGUAGCGGUGAAAUGCGCAGAGAUGUGGAGGAACACCAGUGGCGAAGGCGACUCUCUGGUCUGUAACUGACGCUGAGGAGCGAAAGCGUGGGGAGCGAACAGGAUUAGAGACCCCGGUAGUCCCUGUCUCUUAUAC